GAGCAAGAAGAGGCAGAACGCACAGGCGCUCGUAAAGAGGACGGGCAGGGAGUCAGGUUUAGCGGAGUCUCCUUUCUCGCUGGCUUCCUAACGCCAGGCUCCGGAGACGGAGCCGAGGCCGGUGGAGACGGGAAGGGCGGCCGAAGGCCGGCCCGGGCUUCCCACCCGCUCGCGCUUGCAGUUGUGCCCAAGUAAACAGCUCGCUGAAGGUCAGGGCACUGAUGCUGCCGACUGGUGUCACAUCAGCUGAUUUCACUUUCAUUUCCUCACUUGCCGGUGGCUCGUGACUUUUCAGAAAAAGGGAACGUAAACAACGUUGUUGUUGUUCACCAGAUCGCGUACUUUACCCACGCCCGAGCCGCCCGACCAGUUGACCCAAGGAGCCAGGCAAAAUUUCUGACCUGUCUCUGGAGCUGGUGGUGGGGACAAUGGCACUCUUCUCUCAGUGACACCCACUUUAGGAGUUGAGCUGUACGUGGAAAGAGGGCAGCAGUCUCAGGUCUUCUCUAUUUGCCUCUAGUGUGAUAUCACCAUUUCACAAGCUAAGCUUUAGAGCCAGAGAAGCCAUCAACCCAGAAGUGCCAAUGAGUGAAGAAAUAAUGGAUGAAAAUUUGAUGAAACUUCCCAAAUGUGAUGAAAGAUACGAUGUAAACAUCCAAGAAGCUCAAUGAGCUCCAAGUAAGAUGAACUCAAAAACCCACAAUGAAACACAUUGUAAUUAAUCUAAGAGAAAGAGAGAAUCUUGAAAGUAGCAAGAGAAAAAAAUUGUUACAUGGAAGAAUCCUCAAUAAGAUUAUUAGCAGAUUUCUCAUCAGAAACUGGAGGCCAGAAGACCAUAAACCAAUACAUUCAAAGUGCUUUUAAAAAGUGGCAUUAUUGUCCUUCAAAAGUUAGGAAGAAAUUAAGACAUUCCCAGAUAAACAAAAGCUGAAAGAGUUCAUGACCACUAGACACAUCCUGUAAGAAAUGCUCAAGAGAGUCCUACAAGGUGAAAAGACACUGGAAACUAACUUGAAUCUGUAGGGAGAAUAAAGAUCUGAACAGAGGCAAUUAUAAAAGCUAGCAUAUCACUGUAGCAAUGGUUUUAAAGAGCACUUUUUGUUUUCCAAUACAUUUAAAGAAAAACAAAGCAGUUAAUAAUACAGUUUCAUCCUGUUGUGAUCAGAGAAGAUACUCUGUAAGACAGCUAGCUUUUAAAAUCUUACUUAUUAAGACUUACUUACUUAUUAAGACUCACUAUUAACAAUUAUAUAGCAACAAAUUAGAUAAUAUAGAUAAAAUGGACAAAUUCCUAGAAACACAAAACCUACCAAGACUAUAUCACAAAGAAAUAGAAAAUAUGAACAGACCUAUAACUGAUAAUGAAUCAGCAAUAAAAACAUCUCCCAACCACAAACUGUAGACGUGAUGGCUUCACAGGAGAAUUCUACCAAACAUUUAAAGAACUAACAUCAGUACUUCUCAAACCUUUCUAAAAAACUCAAGAGUAGGGAACACUUCCUAACUCAUUCUAUGAGGCCAGCAUUAUCCUGAUACCCAAAGCCAUACAGACACUACAAGAACAAAAAAAUUUAUAGAUCAGCAUGUCUUAUGAACAUUAAUGCAAAAAAUCCUCAACAAAAUACUAGCAAAUAAAAAUCAGCAGCAUAUUAAAAGGAUUGUACACAAUGACCAAAUAGGAUUUAUUCCUGGAAUGUAAGGAUGGUUCAACAUAACCAAUUGAUCAGAAUGUAAGGAUGGUUCAAACGUAAGAAACUAAUGAACGUAAAACACCACAUCAACAUAAUAAAGGAAAAGACCUCACAUGAACAUCUCAAUUGAUGCAGAAAAGGCAUCUGACAAAAUUCAACACCUUUUCAUGAUUAAAAAACCCAACAGACAAGGCAUAGAAGGAAACCACCUCAACACAAUAAAAAAAACUAUAGCUGACAUGUUUGAUGGUGAAAUGCUGAAAGCAUUUCCUUUAAGAUCAGGAACAAGUAAGGAUGUCUGUUUUCAUCACUUCUAUUCAACACAAUACUGGAAAUUAUAGCCAGAGCAACUAAGCACAAAAAUGAAAUAGAAGGUAUCCAAAUGGGAAAGAAGUAAAACGAUCUCUGUAGAUGAUAUGAUCUUAUAUUUUAAAAACUCUAAAGAGUCCACAAAAAACCUGUUUGAACUAAUAAAUUAAGUCAGCAAUACAGCAAGAUACAAAGUUACCACACAAAAAUCAACUGCAUUUUUAUACACAAUUAGAGAACAACUUGAAAAGGAAAUUACAAAAGCAAUUCCAUGUACAAUAGCAUCAAAAAGAAUAAAAUACUUAGGAAUUAACCAAGAAGGUGAAAGAAAACUUCAUCUUCUUGUACAAAAAAACUACAGUGACUACAAAACAUUGUUGAAAGGAAUUAAAGAAGACAUAAGUACAUGAAAGCAUAUCUCUUAUUCAUGAAAUGUAAGUCCUAAUAUUAUUAAAAUAUCAAUAUUACCCAAAGCAAUCUAUGGAUUCAAUGCAAUCCCUAUCAAAAUCCCAAUGACUUUUCUUUUUUGCAGAAAUAGAAAAAUCCAUCCCAAUAUUCAAAGGAUCCCAAAUAGCCAAAAUAAUCGGGGGGGGGGGGAGGGUAGCGGUGGGGAAGGAACAAAAUUGGAGGGUUCAUACUUUGAUUUCAAAAUUUACUACAAGGCUACAGUAAUCAAAACAGUGUGGCAUUGGCAUAAAGAUAGCCAUAUAGACCAAAGAAAAAGAAUAGAGAGCCAAUAAAGAAAUCCUUGCAUACAGUCAAAUGAUUUUUGACAGGGGUGUCAAGACCAUUCAAUGGGUGAAGGACAGUCUUUUUAACACAUGAUGCUCAGAAAAUUGUAUCUCCACUUGCAAAAGAAUGGGGCCUUUACCUUAUACCAAACACAAAAAUUAACUCAAAAUAGAUCAAGGACCUAAAUGUAAGACCCAAAAGGAUAACACUUUUAGAAGAAAACAGGACAAAACUUCACAACACUGGAUUUGGCAAUGACUUAUUGGAUAUGAUACUAAAGGCUAAAAGCCAAUAAGGGCAGUACUGAGGUCUUCAGCCCAACAGCUUUUGAAGAACAGCUUUUGAAUUUUGUCAACAAUCAUGUAAGUGAGCUUAAAAGUGGAUCUUUUCUCAGUCAAGUCUUCAGAUGAGACCACCUGACCAACACCUUCAUUGCAGCCUUUUGAGAGACCUCAGACAGAAGCACAUAGUGAAGCCACUCCUGAGUCCCUGUCUCAUGGAAAUGGCAUGAAAAUAAGUAUCUGUUGUUUUGGGCAACUGCUUGGGGAAAUUUGUUGCUCAGCAAUAGAAAACUAAUACAACAUCCAUCUUACUCCAUUUCAGCUGCUAUAACAAAAUACCACAGACUGUGUGGCUAAAAAGAACAGGAAUUUAUUCCUCCUAGUUCUUCAGGCUGGAAGGUAGAGGUCAAUGUGCCAGUAUGGUCAGGUGAGCACUCUCUUUUGAGCUGCCAACCUCUCGUUUGUAUCCUCAUAUGGUAGAAGGGGCUAGGCAUCUCUCUGGAGCUCUUUUAAUAAGGCACUAAUCCAGAGGGCUCUGCCCCAUGACCUAAUCACUUCCCAAAGGGCCCACCUUCCAGGACCAUCAUAUUGGGCAUUAUAAUUUCAACAUAAUGAGUUUGGGGAAGAUAGAAUUAUUCAGACAAAGCAUUCUGUCCCUAAGCCCUCCAAAUUCAGGUCCUUCUCACAUGCAAAAUACAUUUAUUCCAUCCCAUUCCAUUCCAACAAGUUAAAGGUUUCCAAAAUACAGUGAUGGGACAGACAUAGGACAGACAUUCCCAAAGGGAGAAACAGAAAAGGAUGGAGUGCUGGGUUGCCAGUAAGGACAUAGAAAAAUCUAGCAAGGCAAAUUCAACAAGAUCUUAGAGCUCAAGAAUAAUCCUCUCUGGUUCAAUGGACUGCCUUCUGGACCUACUGGAGUGGCAACAUCACCCGUACGGCUUGGCAGGGUGCUGCUAAUGCCUGGCUCUCUGCUAGGGCACUGCCCACAAUGUAGGUCAUGGCUCGAGGCAGCUUGCCUUCAUGGCCUCUGUUAGAGGCUGUUUAUCCUGCUGAAAUCCAGGUGGUAGUGGCCCUGAUGAUCUCUUAGUUACCUCUGAGGCCAUUUUUCCCCCUUGUCUUGAAGAAGAGUGCAUGUUCACAAAUAGAUUUAUGGUACCGUACUGUAAAAUUCAGGCAGUCUGACAGCCUUCCUUCAUUCUGUCCUGUCUCCAACCCCUUCAGUUCAAGCUGGCAGUCUUCCUAAUGGGGUGGUUGAUUAGUUCUGUGGUUCAUACCCACACUAAUCUCCUUAUCAUACAGUUGAUCCCCACCACUCUUACUCUUCUUUUCUGAACACACGUUCCUAUUGUUUUGUAACAUGGGUAGGCUGAGAAUUUUUUAAAUCUUCACCUUCUGGUUCCUUUUCGCUUAACAAUUCCUUCUUCAUUUCUCUCUCCUUGUUUUCUACUAUAAGCAGUCAGGAGGAAUCAAGCUGCUCUUCAACACCUUACAAAGAAACUUUUUCAGCUAAAUUUCCAAUUUUAUCACUCACAAGUUCUACCUUCCAUGAAACGCUAUAGAACACAAACUCAAUACAGCCAAAUCCUUUACCAUUUUAUAGUAAGGAUUAAAUUUUCUCUACUGGUCAGUAACAUGUUCGUUUCUGUCUGAGAUCUCAUGAAAAUCACCCUUAAUAUUCAGAUUCCUACCAACGUCCUAUACACAAUUAGUUGUGUGUGUUUAAGAUGGAAACUUGCUCUACAGCUCCCCUUUUUUCUUUCUGAGUCCUUACCAGAAUCAUCUUGAGAAGUCCCUUCAUGGCAAUAUCAGCAUUUUCUAACAUGCACUUCAAAACUCUGCCAGACUCUACCAGUUAUCCAGUUCCAAAGCCACUUCCACAGUUUUAGGUAUUAGUUACAAUAGCACCCCACACUCGGUACUAAGAGAGUAGUGUCUUAGUUUGUCUUAGUCACUUCCUAACACCAUCACAUUGAUGGUUAGGGUUUCAACAUGUGUAGUAUUUGGUGGGGACAUAAGCAGUCCAUAACACCACCUGAACUUCCUUCUCCUCCUCCCACUCUAUAUUCCUCCUUAGGCACUUAUCACAUAUUAGGCACAUCAUAUAUUUUACUUAUCAUUAUUUUUUAUUUCUACCCACUAGAAUAUAAGCUAUGAAAGAGAAGGAUUUUUGUCUCAUUUUUUGUUCACUGCUCUAUCCCCAGCACACAGUUGAAGCUCAAUAUAUAGUUGUUAAAUAAAUGAAUAAAUGAACACUGGAUUUGCAGGCAUGUGAUGUAUGUGAUGCAUGUGAUGUAUGUCUCAUCAGCAAGUGGUUAAUUUGUAUUAACAAGUUGUUAACAAGUGGCUUUUGAGAAGUAAUCUCUCUGGAUCUUUAAAGUAAGAGUGUUAAAAAUCCUAAGGUUAGAAAAUUCUAUGAUUUGAUAUGUUACAUAAUCAGAAAAUAACAAUUACUGUUACACAAUAA
Leopardus geoffroyi (Geoffroy's cat) is the source of this 5477-nucleotide long non-coding RNA. RefSeq lists it as uncharacterized. The transcript has 4 exons. The record is from RefSeq and is a predicted model, not a curated record. Lineage: Eukaryota; Metazoa; Chordata; Mammalia; Carnivora; Felidae.